Brassica napus (rape) is the source of this 987-nucleotide long non-coding RNA. RefSeq lists it as uncharacterized. The record is from RefSeq and is a predicted model, not a curated record. The transcript is spliced from 3 exons. Lineage: Eukaryota; Viridiplantae; Streptophyta; Magnoliopsida; Brassicales; Brassicaceae.
UGCCUCUACCCUAGAACGUCUGAAGCGUAACCCUAGAACGUCUGAAGCAAAGAAACGAGGUUCGUCGCUCCCCUUCGCGGCGGCUCGCCGGUGAUGUUUACGCUUCUUCCCACGGCUUGAAACGGUCUGAUUUAUGUCUUCGUCUUUACUCCCAUUGAUUCCCUCUCCCACGAUCUGUCUUCAAAGUACUUUUGGAUCUGAGAAGCGGUGUAGGUUAAGUAUAAAUAUAUGUUAGAUUCUUCUCCUUGAACACAUCUUCUCUUCGUUUCCUUUUUUCUUCCUCUGAAACUUUAUCAUCUUCUUCAUCUGAUCGAGGAUGAACAACUAGAGUUAUGAGAGGACGAGAUCCUUGAAUGUUUCUGGGAGGCUAAGAAUGUCAAGCGCGGUGGUUGAUGUAAAAGGAAAACCAAAGGUAUUUACUCUUUAAGAAAUGGAGGCGAUGAUGUCGUAGCAGGAGCUCCGCCUUGGAAUCCGAUGACGAUGCAAGCUGCUUAUAAUGAACCUGGAGAUGAGUCCACGAAGAUCACUGGCGUCAAGAGAGGUAGUAACGAAGGAGGUGGUGAUGGAGAUUCACAGAAACUGAAAUUUUCUGUUUCUUUGUUGAGGGAAGAAAUACAAAAAGAUUUCACAGCGUACAAUGGGAAAAAACCUCCUACAAGACAAAAGAAGAGACAAGAACUAUUCAGAGUCAAAUGAAUAGGAAGUAACAUCAUGCUCUUCUGAUUUAUGAAAACAUGAUCAAAGGUGUGAUUCCUUGGUUUCUUCAGUUUAGAGUCCUCAAAAUUCAUGUUCUAUCAAAUUUGUGUUAAUACUUUUUCAGUUGUAAAGAUGAAGAACAAAUAUAGCAAUGCACCAAUUUUUAGUGAAUGAAACUAUUUUACUAUGUUUCUUCAUAUUCUUCUCUUUAUUUGUGUAAAAGAGAUGAGCGGAGCUAAUCGUAAUCUCCAGCUGUUUUAUUUAUCAAUAAUACUCUCUCCAGUUUUCUUA